GGCUGAUUUGCCUUUCAAACGAAGGGGCACAAUGGAUUUCCAUCCUUUCUUUGAACCAAAUUUCAUAUUUCCUAAAGGGGAAGGUUAGAAUUCAAUUAAAGCCUUUCCCCAACCUGCUAAGCUUUAAAUUACACCAAUCAUGCACAUAGUAUUGCAGUCCCUGAGUCACCAGAUUUAGAGAGAGUAGCAGCCAUUAGAGUCCAUUAAGACACAUUCAUUAAAAAAAAAAA
RNAcentral lists this unclassified non-coding RNA (230 nucleotides) under Hevea brasiliensis (rubber tree). Lineage: Eukaryota; Viridiplantae; Streptophyta; Magnoliopsida; Malpighiales; Euphorbiaceae. The record is from RNAcentral.